AGACGAACCGUCCAAACGUUAUUCGGUAUCACUGGGCUUAAAGAGUUCGUAGGCGGCCAUGUAGGUCAGGUGUGAAAUCCCACAGCUCAACUGUGGAACUGCGCUUGAAACCACAUGACUUGAGGAAGAUAGAGGUGAGCGGAACAGAUGGUGGAGCGGUGAAAUGCGUUGAUAUUAUCUGGAACACCGGUGGCGAAGGCGGCUCACUGGAUCUUUUCUGACGCUGAGGAACGAAAGCUAGGGUAGCGAACGGGAUUAGAUACCCCGGUAGUCCUAGCCGUAAACGAUGAGCACUAGUCCGUGGGGACCCUCACAUCUUCUCGGACGUAGCGAUAGUGUUAAGUGCUCCGCCUGGGGAGUAUGGUCGCAAGGCUGAA
This 377-nucleotide ribosomal RNA is filed under the name uncultured bacterium. RNAcentral describes it as "bacterial SSU rRNA". It matches the Rfam family "Bacterial small subunit ribosomal RNA", at positions 523 to 898 of the family's 1533-position model. The record is from RNAcentral.